CCUACGGGAGGCUGCAGUGGGGAAUCUUCCGCAAUGGACGAAAGUCUGACGGAGCAACGCCGCGUGAGUGAAGAAGGUUUUCGGAUCGUAAAGCUCUUUCGUCAGGGACGAACGUAUUUCUUGUAAAUAAUGAGAGAUAGUGACGGUACCUGAAUAAGAAGCCACGGCUAACUACGUGCCAGCAGCCGCGGUAAUACGUAGGUGGCAAGCGUUGUCCGGAAUUAUUGGGCGUAAAGCGCGCGCAGGCGGGAUAUCAAGUCUGUCUUAAAAGUGCGAGGCUCAACCUCGUGAGGGGACAGAAACUGGUAUUCUUGAGUGUCGGAGAGGAAAGUGGAAUUCCAAGUGUAGCGGUGAAAUGCGUAGAGAUUUGGAAGAACACCAGUGGCGAAGGCGACUUUCUGGACGAUGUCUGACGCUGAGGCGCGAAAGCUAGGGGAGCGAACGGGCUUAGAUACCCCAGUAGUC
Molecule: ribosomal RNA, 465 nt
Rfam family: Bacterial small subunit ribosomal RNA